RNAcentral lists this non-coding RNA (21 nucleotides) under Caenorhabditis elegans. The record is from RNAcentral. Lineage: Eukaryota; Metazoa; Nematoda; Chromadorea; Rhabditida; Rhabditidae.
UGAAUUCUGAUUUAUUCGACA